Molecule: long non-coding RNA, 589 nt
Filed under: Rattus norvegicus (Norway rat)
Lineage: Eukaryota; Metazoa; Chordata; Mammalia; Rodentia; Muridae
Description: long non-coding RNA NONRATT032667
Source: RNAcentral
AUGAGUGCUUUUUCUCCUCUCACCCUAGAUGAUAUUGAAAGGUAUAGCAAGCGAUACAUGAAGGUCUAUAAAGAAGAAUGGGAACCAGAUUGGAGAAGACUUCCAAGAGAGAUGAUGCCAAGGAAAAAGUGCAAAAAAGGUACGCUGACUAAUGUGACCGGAAUCCAGCUUGACAAAAGUGUUGCUGAGAUGGGGAAUGCAUAAGCCAAGCUCAGGUUGUGCUCAGUAUUGCAAAUUCUCUAAGUAUGUCUGGCAUUUUGAUUAUUUUGCUGGCCCUUAGUGGCUGCUGACUUUUAGACCUUCUAUUUUCUUGAAUGAAUCUCAUUCUUUCAUUGUGAAGAUUUGCUGUGCUAGCAAAUUCUCUGUCUUAGUUGUAGAGAUGAAGAUUUUUAUGAUCUUACUGGCUCUAUUCUACAUUAUUCCAUGACACAUUUUAAAAUCAGGGGCACUGUUGACAGUUGUUCGCUGUUGGGGAAGGAGAGUCAGCCUUUAAGGAUGUGGCCACCGUUGGUUGGGUUGACAAAUUUGACUCAGUAGAUUAUUAAAAGAAGGACAUAAAGUUGGGAAGGAGAACGUGAGUAGAUUUAGG